This 90-nucleotide transfer RNA is filed under the name Hypsizygus marmoreus. It matches the Rfam family "tRNA". Rfam says of the family: Transfer RNA (tRNA) molecules are approximately 80 nucleotides in length. Lineage: Eukaryota; Fungi; Basidiomycota; Agaricomycetes; Agaricales; Lyophyllaceae. The record is from Rfam by way of RNAcentral.
CCUUCGAUAGCUCAGUUGGAAGAGCGUGGGACUGUAAAGGUUACCGCUCACGUAAUCCCAAGGUCACUGGAUCGACGCCGGUUCGAAGGA